RNAcentral lists this unclassified non-coding RNA (349 nucleotides) under soil metagenome. RNAcentral describes it as "partial contains 5.8S ribosomal RNA, internal transcribed spacer 2, and large subunit ribosomal RNA". The stretch from base 1 to 120 matches the Rfam family "5.8S ribosomal RNA", at positions 35 to 154 of the family's 154-position model. The record is from RNAcentral.
GAUGAAGAACGUAGCGAAAUGCGAUAAGUAAUGUGAAUUGCAGAAUUCAGUGAAUCAUCGAAUCUUUGAACGCACAUUGCGCCCGUCGGCACUCCGGCGGGCAUGCCUGUCCGAGCGUCAUUUCAACCCUCAGGACCCCCUUCCGGGGGGGACCUGGCGCUGGGGAUCAGCGGCCUCCGGGCCCCUGUCCCCAAAUGCAGUGGCGGUCGCGCCGCAGCCUCCCCUGCGUAGUAGCACACCUCGCACCGGAGAGCGGCUCGGCCACGCCGUGAAACCCCCAAUUUUUCAAGGUUGACCUCGGAUCAGGUAGGAAUACCCGCUGAACUUAAGCAUAUCAAUAAGCGGAGGA